Molecule: ribosomal RNA, 528 nt
Filed under: Brevibacterium sp. WJ
Lineage: Bacteria; Bacillati; Actinomycetota; Actinomycetes; Micrococcales; Brevibacteriaceae
Description: bacterial SSU rRNA
Rfam family: Bacterial small subunit ribosomal RNA
Source: RNAcentral
GCACAAUGGGGGAAACCCUGAUGCAGCGACGCAGCGUGCGGGAUGACGGCCUUCGGGUUGUAAACCGCUUUCAGCAGGGAAGAAGCGAAGGUGACGGUACCUGCAGAAGAAGUACCGGCUAACUACGUGCCAGCAGCCGCGGUAAUACGUAGGGUACGAGCGUUGUCCGGAAUUAUUGGGCGUAAAGAGCUCGUAGGUGGUUGGUCACGUCUGCUGUGGAAACGCAACGCUUAACGUUGCGCGUGCAGUGGGUACGGGCUGACUAGAGUGCAGUAGGGGAGUCUGGAAUUCCUGGUGUAGCGGUGAAAUGCGCAGAUAUCAGGAGGAACACCGGUGGCGAAGGCGGGACUCUGGGCUGUAACUGACACUGAGGAGCGAAAGCAUGGGGAGCGAACAGGAUUAGAUACCCUGGUAGUCCAUGCCGUAAACGUUGGGCACUAGGUGUGGGGGACAUUCCACGUUCUCCGCGCCGUAGCUAACGCAUUAAGUGCCCCGCCUGGGGAGUACGGUCGCAAGGCUAAAACUCAA